This 681-nucleotide ribosomal RNA is filed under the name Triticum aestivum (bread wheat). Its description in RNAcentral is "partial small subunit ribosomal RNA". The record is from RNAcentral. Lineage: Eukaryota; Viridiplantae; Streptophyta; Magnoliopsida; Poales; Poaceae.
AUGAGCUCCGGGACGGGGAAGGCUGAGUUACUUGACCCAGCAGUCAAUAGAACGCUCAAUGUUCUUCGUUCUUGCAAGAAGGCCUCUAUCAAGAGAGUGAUCGUAACCUCAUCCAUGGCUGCUGUUGCCUACAAUGGGAAGCCAAGGACUCCUGAUGUAGUGGUUGACGAGACAUGGUUUUCAAGUCCAGAGGUCUGCGAAAAGAAUAAGCAAUGGUAUGUGCUAUCCAAGACCCUUGCCGAGGAGGCUGCAUGGAAGUACGCAAAUGAUAAUGGAUUGGAAAUAAUUACAAUAAACCCAACAAUGGUCAUCGGUCCCCUGUUGCAGCCUACACUGAAUACUAUCGCAGAAGCAAUAUUGAAGUUUAUAAAUGGAUCAUCUUCUACAUACGCCAAUUUCUGCUUUGGAUGGAUAAACGUUAAAGAUGUUGCCCUGGCACAUAUCCUUGCAUAUGAAGUUCCUUCAGCAAACGGAAGAUAUUGUAUGGUUGAAAGAGUCAUUCACCACUCGGACCUUGUCAAGAUCAUACACGAGAUGUAUCCUGAAUUUCCAGUGCCAGACAAGUGUGCAGAUGAUGCACCGUUUGCCACAAUCUACCAGGUAUCAAAGGACAAGAUAAGAAGUCUAGGCAUGGAGCUGACCCCCCUGGAGACAAGCCUCAAGGGACUAUCGAGAGCUUGA